Molecule: ribosomal RNA, 350 nt
Filed under: uncultured bacterium
Lineage: Bacteria
Description: partial 16S ribosomal RNA
Rfam family: Bacterial small subunit ribosomal RNA
Source: RNAcentral
CCUACGGGUGGCAGCAGUCGAGAAUCAUUCACAAUGGGGGAAACCCUGAUGGUGCGACGCCGCGUGGGGGAAUGAAGGUCUUCGGAUUGUAAACCCCUGUCAUGUGGGAGCAAAUUACAAAGAUAGUACCACAAGAGGAAGAGCCGGCUAACUCUGUGCCAGCAGCCGCGGUAAUACAGAGGUCUCAAGCGUUGUUCGGAAUCACUGGGCGUAAAGCGUGCGUAGGCUGUUUCGUUAGUCGUGUGUGAAAAGGGGGGGCUCAAACCGCGGACCGCACAUGAUACUGCGAGACUAGUGUAGUGGAGGGGGAACCGGAAUGCUCGGUGUAGCAGUGAAAUGCGUAGAUAUCG